AGGAUGACUUGGAAUCAUCCUACAACUCUUGGAGCAGAUAUCUAUUUGCAUGGAAUCAUCACAUUGUAAGGUUCCCAUAUUUGUUAUCUCAUCGCUAGCAGAUGAGUUAUUGGCAUAUACCGACAUAAUAACUGAGUUGGUGUGCAAACAAAGGCAAGAAAAGGUAUGCUUACGAGGGCAUAUGAUUUAUAAAUUUUGGAAGUCUCCAACUGAUCAUUUACAUCCCUACUAAAAGCAGAUUUUUUGUUGAGUUUAUGUCCUUCACAGUUGUUCUCUGUGAGCCAUUAUUUGCCAAUGUCAAGCUUUUGGAUGGAGAAAGGCUGCAAGUGUAUCCUGCAAUUUUACUCGCCUAAGCUAUUGUACGGUAACCUUUUCUUUUGACCGUGCAACUUGUCACCUAAUCGUAUCCUCUGAUAGCUGUUAGAAUGGGUGCAGACUUCAUUGGCAGGAGCUGUGCAUUGUAUUUUGUCCUCACUGGAGUUUGUGACUUAGCCCAGCUGUUCAUUUGCUCAGAUGCUGGCAUGGGGAUGAAAAAUCAUUACUUAUCUGGGAGGUGGUAAUAUAUUAUAUCACUCAUCAAACAAUGGAAAGUGCUUCUCUCUUUCCUAUUUUUCAGCAAAUAGAACCAUUCAACGAGCAGAACCUUUUUGUUCAAUUUGCAGGAGGGCAUGGAUAGUGAUAUAGCUCUCUUGCCUUGUGAUCCGAAGGAGAUGAAGAUGAAUGUCCUUCAAUGUUCAUUUCUUUCGGGAAUAGUGUUGAAGAAGGUUCAACCUUUAUUCAAUGUAUCGCAACUGAAGUUUGUUGUGGUAAUAUCACCUAAUCCUCCAUACAUUCUCUUUCUGAUGAUGGUACUUCAGAUCGAUGACUUUUCUGUUCUUGCACUUUCUAUUGAAGAUAGUUACCCGAAGAUUUUAGGCAGCUGAUCAUAUCACCAGUCGCAGACUUGUACUCAGUCCUUCACUACUCUCUGAAUGAGACAUUGAAGCUGUCCACCCUGAAGGAAGAUCCAGAACUAGAAAUCACAGCAGACUUGAUCUCUCAAUUACAGUGGAAAAACUUGAAGACCAAAAUUUGAGCAUCACAAGAUUGAAAGGAAACCUCUUUAUGAGUGAUGCCAGAAGGUGGAUUCUACCUAGUGAUGAGCUAUCCUGCUCAAAAAGUGAGCCCCCGUGGCUUUUGGGGGCUCUAGACUUGCAAAGGAUCCUGGCUCGUUUAUCAGAGAUGGGUAUUGGCGGAUCUCUACAAGAAAACAAUGUUACAGAUGGAUUGAGCAACACUCGUAUCUUGCACAUCGACGCUCCUAGUGAAGCUACACUUGAAAUUUGAAGCACGAGCACUUUAAUCAGUGCCAUG
Long non-coding RNA from Eucalyptus grandis, 1353 nucleotides. RefSeq lists it as uncharacterized. NCBI's taxonomy places the organism in Eukaryota, Viridiplantae, Streptophyta, Magnoliopsida, Myrtales, Myrtaceae. The record is from RefSeq and is a predicted model, not a curated record. The transcript has 3 exons.